CCUAAUCUGGGUAUUAAAAGUGUAUUCAGAAUACAUUAUAAAUAUUUUUGAUUUGUGAAAUAAAAAGUGAGAUCUUUUUGUCUACGAAAUCAGUAACUGAAUAUAUUAGUGUUGGUUUAGCUUUUGCAUUUGGAUAAGGGAUAUAUAGCCUUUUAUGCAAUGAGGAUGUUACUGUACAUUUCUAAUCAAUCACAGUAACGCUUAGCAAGGCAUGAAAAUAGUAUCAUGUUGUAAUUAAGUAGUCAAAAUCCCUCUAUUGAGGAGAAAUGAUUAGCUUUUAUUUUCCACAAGACUGCCUUUUUAAAUAUAUCAAUGAAAAUGAUUUUUGGGUUCCCUAUAGUAUGUAUAUACAUGAUGCAAUUUAAAAAAUAAUAAUAAUAAUUUUACCUUUAUUUAACCAGGUAGGCCAAUUGAGCACAAGUUCUCAUUUACAACUGCCACCUGGCCAAGAUAAAGCAAAGCAGUGCGACAAAAACAACACAGUUACACAUAAACGUACAGUCAAUAACACAAUAGAAAAAUCUAUGUACAGUGUGUGCAAAUGUAGAAGAGUAGGGAGGUAAGGCAAUAAAUAGGCCAUAGAGGUGAAAUAAUUACAAGUACAAUUUAUCAUUAACACUGGAGUGAUAGAUGUGCAGAUGAUGAUGUGCAAGUAGAGAUACUGGGGUGCAAAAGAGCAAGAGGGUAAGUAAUAAUAUGGGGAUGAGAUAGUUGGGUGUGCUAUUUACAGAUUGGCUGUGUACAGGUACAGUGAUCGGUAAGCUGCGCUGACAGCUGAUGUUUAAAGUUAGAAAGGGAGAUCAGCUUCAGUGAUUUUUGCAAUUCGUUCCAGUCAUUGGCAUUAGAGAACUGGAAGGAAAGGCAGCCAAAGGAAGUGUUGACUUUGGGGAUGACCAGUGAAAUAUACCUGCUGAAGCACGUGCUAGGGGUGGGUACUGCUAUGGUGACCAGUGAGCUGAGAUAAGGUGGGCUUUACAAAGACUUAUAGAUGACCUGGUGCCAGUGGGUUUGGCGACGAAUAUGUAGUGGCCAGCCAACGAGAGCAUACAGGUCGCAGUGGUGGGUAGUAUAUGGGGCUUUGGUGACAAAAUGGAUGGCAAUGCAAAUGGUUGACAUAGAAAAAAACAAGUAAGCCUGGAAGGGGGGAUGAGUAAAUAAUAUGCAUAUCUCUACCUAAAUACUCGGCAUUAUCCAGUUUAGGAUGAAACAAAAACAAAAACUGAACACGUACAAUACUUAGUAGCAAGCAUUCCAAUUGACAUGUUUUUUUAUCAUGCAAACCUAGCACUGUACCCUGAGAAUGUAGAUUUCUACAGCUAGUUGGCUUUGAGUGUCAACUUUUUAUUUUAUAUUCUUUGUACUAUUGCACACUAAUCAGUGUAAGUACUGGAUGAUAUAUAACACUUAUGUAUGGAUGUUAAAUGUGACGGACGCUGCUCAAACAUGUCGAGAUUUACUUUCUACCACCUCUUUUCAACUGUCUCCCAUUUAAAUUUGGCAUCAUUUGUUCACUUCACUGACAUUUUAAAAAUAUUGGCGAGAAACCAUGUUCUGUGAAGACAUUCAUUCCAUUCCUGUUACUUUUUUGUCC
RNAcentral lists this long non-coding RNA (1591 nucleotides) under Salmo salar (Atlantic salmon). RNAcentral describes it as "lncRNA (ENSSSAG00000110565.1)". The record is from RNAcentral. Lineage: Eukaryota; Metazoa; Chordata; Actinopteri; Salmoniformes; Salmonidae.